RNAcentral lists this transfer RNA (74 nucleotides) under archaeon ADurb.Bin336. RNAcentral describes it as "tRNA-Met". It matches the Rfam family "tRNA". Rfam says of the family: Transfer RNA (tRNA) molecules are approximately 80 nucleotides in length. Their secondary structure includes four short double-helical elements and three loops (D, anti-codon, and T loops). The record is from RNAcentral.
GCCACUGUAGAUCAGCAGUUAGAUCGUCCGACUCAUAAUCGGAAGCUCGGCGGUGCGAUUCCGCCCAGUGGCAC